RNAcentral lists this microRNA precursor (78 nucleotides) under Procavia capensis (Cape rock hyrax). RNAcentral describes it as "miRNA (ENSPCAG00000020017.1)". Lineage: Eukaryota; Metazoa; Chordata; Mammalia; Hyracoidea; Procaviidae. The record is from RNAcentral.
GGGCGGGGCGGAGAGCGGCCCUGCGGUGCGGGGCGGGUGGGCGGGGCGGAGCCCAGCCCUGCGGUGCGGGUGGGCGGG